AUUUCUCUCAGCCUCGAUGAAUCGGCAUCUGCAUUGUUCUUCGAUGGUGCAGCCACAAAAAACAGCCCAAAAAAGGCAUCCCAGUCGACAAGCAUGGACAAUUCUGCCACCAACAUUUUCGGGGUUGCUGGAAAUUCUAGCGACAAGUCACUAAGUUUG
RNAcentral lists this non-coding RNA (159 nucleotides) under uncultured Nitzschia. Lineage: Eukaryota; Bacillariophyta; Bacillariophyceae; Bacillariales; Bacillariaceae. The record is from RNAcentral.